RNA transcript from Benincasa hispida (wax gourd), 766 nucleotides. RefSeq lists it as uncharacterized. The record is from RefSeq and is a predicted model, not a curated record. Lineage: Eukaryota; Viridiplantae; Streptophyta; Magnoliopsida; Cucurbitales; Cucurbitaceae.
CCAAUUAUUUUCGGAACUUUUUUCCCCUUUUUCCAUUAAUAUUGACGUUUUGAUUUUUCUUUUUCCUCGACUCUAAUUGAUUGAGAUUCAUCAAAGGGUCCAUCAGUUCGUCAAAUUUGGGAUCGUCUUUUUCAAUCUCUUCGCAAAUCGAAUCGAAAAUGGUUUGCUUGGCGUGUCUGUUGCCUCUGUUUCUCAUUCCAGUCGUCAACGCGCUUCCUGUUCUAUUCUAUUUAAUUAUGGGCAAAAUUUAUGGAAUUUUUGGCUGGGAAUAUAGAAAACCACAAAGGGUACCACCGGCUUGUCCCUAUCGCCCUGCUGCCAAACAAAAUAGCAAUGGAUGUGGGGGGUGGGAUUUUCUUCAUGUUGAAUAGAUGCUUGUUGAUACAAUAGUUCUCUAAAUCCACUAUCUUCUAUCGAAUAGUGAUUUCCGGUGGACUUAGAACCUCUAGCUGGUCAGCAACACCCACCUCCAAAAGCUGUGGAUGCCGCGGACGAGAAGCAAGACUGAAUCUGAAAAUUUCUAUUGUACAUACCUGUCAGCAAGAAUCGAUGAAUAUUUGUGGCCCUGGAAGCUGUGGCACCAUCGAUUUUAGGAAGCUAUGAUUUCCAAUCGAUCAGAAAAGAAAAAAAAAACUUUAAAACUCUCAUCCUAAUACCAUCAAUACAGUUCAUUUUGUCACAGCAUGCUUUCUGAAUAACAUCGAUACAGACUUUGUAGGUAUGCUUUCUGAAUAAUCUAGUUGGAUGGCUUGAAUAUGUUUUCCUU